Molecule: transfer RNA, 72 nt
Filed under: Cryptomonas sp. CCAC 1634B
Lineage: Eukaryota; Cryptophyceae; Cryptomonadales; Cryptomonadaceae
Description: tRNA-Asn
Rfam family: tRNA
About the family: Transfer RNA (tRNA) molecules are approximately 80 nucleotides in length. Their secondary structure includes four short double-helical elements and three loops (D, anti-codon, and T loops). Further hydrogen bonds mediate the characteristic L-shaped molecular structure. tRNAs have two regions of fundamental functional importance: the anti-codon, which is responsible for specific mRNA codon recognition, and the 3' end, to which the tRNAs corresponding amino acid is attached (by aminoacyl-tRNA synthetases). tRNAs cope with the degeneracy of the genetic code in two manners: having more than one tRNA (with a specific anti-codon) for a particular amino acid; and 'wobble' base-pairing, i.e. permitting non-standard base-pairing at the 3rd anti-codon position.
Source: RNAcentral
UCUUCAGUAGCUCAGAGGUAGAGCAGUCGACUGUUAAUCGACCUGUCGUAGGUUCAAAUCCUACUUGAGGAG